GAAACGGGGGCUAAUACCGCAUGAUAUCGCGAGAGCUCCGGCUCACGCGAUCAAAGCUAGCCUCUACAUGUAAGCUAGCGCCACCGGAGGGGCUCGCGGCCCAUUAGCUUGUUGGUGAGGUAACGGCUCACCAAGGCUGCGAUGGGUAGCCGGCCUGAGAGGGCGAUCGGCCACACUGGAACUGAGACACGGUCCANACUCCUACGGGAGGCAGCAGUGAGGAAUCUUGCGCAAUGGGGGAAACCCUGACGCAGCGACGCCGCGUGGAGGACGAAGGCCUUCGGGUCGUAAACUCCUGUCAAGGGGGACGAACGUCGCGGGGAUGAAUAAGCCUCGCGUUUGACGGUACCUCUGGAGGAAGCCCCGGCUAACUCCGUGCCAGCAGCCGCGGUAAUACGGAGGGGGCCAGCGUUGUUCGGAAUUAUUGGGCGUAAGGGCGCGCAGGCGGCCAGGCCANUCGGAGGUGAAAUCCCUCGGCUCACCGAGGAACUGCCUCGAUACUGCAUGGCUUGAUUCC
Molecule: ribosomal RNA, 517 nt
Filed under: uncultured bacterium
Lineage: Bacteria
Description: bacterial SSU rRNA
Rfam family: Bacterial small subunit ribosomal RNA
Source: RNAcentral